Molecule: RNA transcript, 4087 nt
Organism: Grus americana (Whooping crane)
Lineage: Eukaryota; Metazoa; Chordata; Aves; Gruiformes; Gruidae
Gene: P2RY2
Gene name: purinergic receptor P2Y2
Exons: 3
Source: RefSeq, a predicted model, not a curated record
GCCCCACGGCCGUCCCCCGUCCCGCUGCCCGGCUCACACGCGGCGACCGGGGGCAGCGGGAGCGGGUCCGGGGCUGGGGAAGGACCGAGCCGCGGGCAUGGAGCUGCCGCCGCCGCCUGCCUGAACCGAGCGGGGCGAUCGGCACGGAGCCGCCCGGCACGGAGCCACCCGGCUCGGCAUCGCCCGGGUGAUGGCAAACCUAACAACUCCUCCAGCCUGGACCAGAGUCAUCAACAGCUCCUUGGACCCAGGUGGCGCAGGAGAUAAUGCCUACAAGUGUGUAUUUGAUGAGGACUUCAAGUAUGUCCUGCUGCCCAUCUCCUACGGCAUCGUGUGCGUGCUGGGGCUCUUUCUCAACCUGCUGGCCCUCUACAUCUUCAUCUUCAGGAUCAAGACCUGGAACGCCUCCACCACAUAUAUGUUCAACCUGGCCAUGUCCGACACGCUCUACGUGGUCUCCCUGCCCCUCCUGGUUUAUUAUUAUGCCAUGGGGGACAACUGGCCUUUCAGCGUAGGCUUGUGUAAAAUAGUCCGCUUCUUGUUUUACACCAACCUCUACUGCAGCAUCCUUUUCCUCCUCUGCAUCAGCAUCCAUCGAUUCCUGGGCAUCUGCUUCCCACUGAAGUCGCUGCAGUGGGGACACGUUCGCUACGCCCGGAGGGUGUCGGUCAUCGUGUGGGUGAUCACUGUCGUGUGCCAGUCACCCGUGCUCUUCUUCGUCACCACCAGUGUGAAACGUGACACCAUCACCUGCCACGACACGUCCAGCAAGGACCUCUUCGGCCAGUUUGUCAUUUACAGUUCCGUGAUGCUGGUGCUGCUCUUCUGCAUCCCUUUCCUCAUCAUCAUCAUCUGCUACUGCCUAAUGGCCCGGAGGCUGCUGCAGCCCACACGGGGGAUCUCCAGGCUGUCCCGAUCCAAAAAGAAGUCAGUCAAGAUGAUAAUCAUCGUCUUGAUGGUCUUCAUCGUUUGUUUUCUUCCUUUCCAUGUCACCCGUACCUUGUACUACUCCUUCCGGAGCUGGGACUUGAGCUGUCAGACCCUCAAUACUAUCAAUUUAGUUUAUAAGGUGACUCGUCCCCUAGCUAGCACCAACAGCUGCUUGGAUCCCAUUUUGUAUUUCUUAGCAGGGCAACGAUUUAUGAAAUUUGCUGGCAACAAAAUGCCAGGGAAGCCUCAAAAUGAAAUGGCGCUGGGGAUCGUGCCCAAUAGUCACCUGGGAACCAGCAACGGCUCGGACACAUCAUCCAAGGAUGUGAAAUCCUAGCUCUGCUCCGGCGCGGCCAGCACCGUCUCCACGACAGAAGACUUUAUCCCAGCCCAGGUUUUGGAGUCCCACCCAGGGAUGAAUGUCCUGCAGAUGAAAGGCUCGCGUGUGGAUAGCUUUAGCUUUUACAGCAUCACACCCAAGCUUUUGCUGCAAUGACUUCUUCGUAGCUCAUACCAGCACCGACUCGUGUGAGUCACUCAAAUCCAAGAAUGAGAAUUAAGCAAGAAUAAUAUCCAUUGAUGGGGAACACAGAGCUUGUGCAGUUACUUCAGAGAAACAAAGCAAACAACAAAAAAAACCACCCACCAAACAUCAAAACCACUUUUUCUAAAUAUCUCUUAGCACUGGGAGCAGGAAGAGAAAGUUAAGAGCAUUGAUGGUUUCCUGCCAAGCAAACAAAUCUGCCACGUGGACUGGAGGCAUGCACACUUCUACUAGACCUUCCCAGCAUCCAAGCACAGGGCUUUUCCUUCCCAAUCAUGCCUUUCUAGGAAGGAGACCCUUAAGCUGGCAGAGGCAGGCAGCGAGCCAUGUUGUUACUGUAAGCCACUUGGUACGUUCACUUCUUUACCAAGUAGUGAGUCCUGGCUUCAUUUUUCUUCUGAUUUUCCUCCUCGGCUGUUGAUUUUCUAAGGAACAAGUCUGCCUGUCCCUCCAAGUAAUUUCUGAUCUAGUUGGCCAAUUCGAUAGACGGACAAAGUCUCUGUGCUACUGAGGUCCUACAAGUUUCAUAGAAAACUUGCCACGCAAACGAGAAAGAACCAAAGGAGCCCUCACCCAACAGCUCAACCUUUAUAUUAGACACCAGGGAAUCCACACCAGUUUCCCCCACACUGCAGCCUGCGGUGACUUGGGGAGGUGGCCAUCACACCAUCAAUGAUGAACGAGGAAAGGUGACAGAGGAAAGGUGCCCCAAAGCCAUCCAGGAGACCAACGUUGGGUUCAACGGGAGGAGAUUCCCAAAUCCUGCAAACUAAUCAUAUUAUUGCAGAAAUAACCAAAAACGGAUGGGCCCAGGCAGCAUUUUCUUUGCAAGAAACGAAACCAGUGGGUGUUUGAAAUAACACACCACCCAGCUUUGUGAGGAGUUUAUUUUAAGGCUUUCAUGGGUUUAAUACCAAUAUUUGCAGACUCCUUGGCAAAUAAAUGCUCAGGAAAGCCUGAAAGUUUAAAAUAUCCUUUUUUUUUUUUUUUAUCUCCCCAAAUACCUGCAAUUUUAGGCACUGGUUAAACACCAACGUCUUGGUGCGUGUUUUGGAGAGCAGCUGGACUGUGAAUGCACGCAUGUACACAUGUACGCACAUACACGCACACGUAUAUAAGCACAUUUAUGCCCACAAAGUGUCCUUCCCACGCUCUGGGAGAGGAGAAGCGUUUGAGGCCUCAUGCCUGAGCCCUGCCUGGUGCCUGCCCCCCCCCUCCAAGGGCAUGGGAAAGCAUACAAAACAGCCCUCUGUACCCCAAAACCUCCUAAUUUAUACAAGAACAGCAGUUCUUCAAAUCCUCCCAGCGACCUGAAAGCUGCCUGGCUGUGGCUCAUCACCCAUGAGAUGAGCUGCAAGGUCUCAGCUUGGCGCUGGAGGCUCCCAACUUUGCAGCAAUGGAUGUGCUGAAGCAGCCCCCCCAAAAAAACCAUCUUGAUUGGGUGGGUUUUGCAGCCCCAUUUGAUGCUGCUGGCAGUAGAGCAGGAGAUCCCCAACAAGAUCCUGCUCCUCUGUUUAUACCACCCGCUAUGAAAGGCAUCGUGUCACAACCCCACUUCCAUUCCCCCCCACACCCCCCAAAUCCUGGGGGAGCUCUGAGAUGCCCUCAAAGCACCAAGCUCCCACCCUUGAACUUGUAAAGAAAGGGGUGGGGGGGCUGCCAGCUGAGAUCCCAGCUGGUGGGAUCACCAGUGGGAAACCCUGGAAGAUGGUGGAAGAUGCGUGGAAGACUGAGGUCCCCGUAGCACAGCCAGCACCCUGCACCGAGUUUUAGUAGGGAAACCAUUUAGCUGAAUAGGCUGAACCCUGCUGCAGCAGAGUCCUCUGCUGGUGCUACGGGGAUGUGGCAGCAAGGAGAAAGGGGUCCCCACGUCUACCCUGAGGCAAAAUGGGGUUCCCCAUGGGAGUGCUAAUGAUGCCCUAGAAACAUCCCAGGACCACACCAAGGGAUGGAGCAGAGUCUCAGGGAGCACCGUGGUCCCUGUCUCCAUGCCGCGGUGUCCACCCAGGCACAGACGCAAGGGCAGGGUCCUGGUUUUCAUCCAUGGGACUUUCCAGGGGAUGAAGAUGUUUUCUCUUCCCUUUGAAGUUCCCCUUGCGUGAGCUGAGCCACAGCAUGUGAGAUGGCCGGGGAAUCAGCCUCUCCUCCCAUGACCUGCAGUUUUAAGGGCAAGGAAAGAGCCUGGUCACCAUCUGCCUUUCAUCAAGCCGCCCACCUGCCGCUCCAGCUUCAUCCCUGCCCACGCGUAAAGGCUCGAUGCUCCUUUAAUGUCCUUUCAUCCUUUUCUUAUCAAAACUGGGGCAAGUGAGUUGGAAACCAGCUGGCCACCAUUGGGAAAGGAGCCCAAGUGCAUGGAUGGAGGUGGAGGCCAUUUGGGACCCACAUUGGGAAGGACCUUGGUAUGUGUCCUUCACGAUGGGGAUUUGCCACCAUCUCUGCAUUUGGAAAAGGGUUUAAUUUGGAAGUAUGUCCCUGAUCAGCUGUUCACUUGGGCUAUGAACCUCUCUACAUAACCUCAUCCACGGUCAGACUGCUGGACCAGUCAUCCUGACCCCCCUGCACACACCUGCAAUGCCAUUAGUGAAGCUGUGAGCCCAGCACCAGGAUGUAAGA